Molecule: ribosomal RNA, 550 nt
Filed under: Pleurosticta acetabulum
Lineage: Eukaryota; Fungi; Ascomycota; Lecanoromycetes; Lecanorales; Parmeliaceae
Description: SSU rRNA
Rfam family: Bacterial small subunit ribosomal RNA
Source: RNAcentral
AAGGAAUGUAUAGCAAUAGCUACUUGCAUCAUUAUAAANAUGAUGCAAGAUCGACUAUGUCGAAUAAAAUUCUAGGUAGAAUUAUGAUAAUGACAUUGUCUGCCUAUGUGUCUUGACCAAAUUACGUGCCAGCAGUCGCGGUAAUACGUAGAAGACUAGUGUUAUUCAUGUUUAAUCGGUUUAAAGGGUACCUAGACGGUAAAUCAAGCUUUCAAAAAAAUAGAAUUAAAGGACUAAUUUACUAGAGUUACUUACGAGGGGGUAUUAAAGUACUGCUGGUGUAGAGAUGAAAUUCUGUCAUACCUCUUUUCAAAAGAAAAAUUACGGCACAGGUAUAGGCGAAGGCAUCCCCUUAUGUGAUAACUGACGUUGAGGGACGAAGGCUUUGUAUAGCGAACAGGAUUAGAUACCCCAGUAGUCGAAGCAGAAAAUGAUGAAUGUCAUAGAUUAGAUAUAUAAGUUUAUUCUAUAAAUGAAAGUGUAAGCAUUCCACCUCAAGAGUAAUUUGGCAACAUUGGAACUGAAAUCAUUAGACCGUUUCUGAAACCAG